Molecule: ribosomal RNA, 253 nt
Filed under: uncultured bacterium
Lineage: Bacteria
Description: partial 16S ribosomal RNA
Rfam family: Bacterial small subunit ribosomal RNA
Source: RNAcentral
UACGGGGGGGGCAAGCGUUGUUCGGAAUUACUGGGCGUAAAGGGCUCGUAGGUGGCCAACUAAGUCAGACGUGAAAUCCCUCGGCUUAACCGGGGAACUGCGUCUGAUAUUGGAUGGCUUGAGUUCGGGAGAGGGAUGCGGAAUUCCAGGUGUAGCGGUGAAAUGCGUAGAUAUCUGGAGGAACACCGGUGGCGAAGGCGGCAUCCUGGACCGGCACUGACACUGAGGAGCGAAAGCCAGGGGAGCAAACGGG